This is a long non-coding RNA of Helicoverpa armigera (cotton bollworm), 3556 nucleotides long. RefSeq lists it as uncharacterized. The transcript is spliced from 3 exons. The record is from RefSeq and is a predicted model, not a curated record. Lineage: Eukaryota; Metazoa; Arthropoda; Insecta; Lepidoptera; Noctuidae.
CAAUACGUCAUUCAAAUUGUUUUCGUGCCGGUUGUUAUGCGUAGAGUUGAAUUUAUUCCUCCGUAUUUGCUUCUGAUCGUUACAAUUUGCGUAAACACUGUCGAGCUGAUCGUUUUCGGGCCUCCAGUGGUUUUUUUUUUGAGAUAUUGGACUCUUUUCUUAGUGAUAAGUGAGCACAUUGACUCGUGAGCAUUGGACUCUUUUUUUUAGUGUUAAGUGAACAAAUUGACUUUUAUUUAGUUUAAGUGAGCAUUGGACUCUUGUUUUUAGUGAUAAGUGUAGUGUUUUAAGUGAUAUUUUUGUUUUACUCCGGAAAAAUGUCUGCACCUGGUAGAAAUCGAGUAAACUACUCUUUGUCUCGCCGGUGUGUUAAUUGCUCUUUACGUAUAGCGCCUAAUCUUCGUAGACGUCAAAUUGAAGAUAUAGAUGAACCAAUGCUUAUCCUUCUAAGAUCCUGGGUAACACCUACAUUGAUAUCGUCUGAUGACAUCCUGUGUGUAGAAUGUUUUGUAUUAUUACAAAACCAGACAGCAUCUAACUCAAAUCUGUCACUUGUAUCCCCUGCUCUUGGACACCUAAACAUAUGUUACGCAUGUGGCUUGUCAAUAGCAAGUCGCAGAACUCAUAGAGUCAGUCAAGAUUGUCCUCAAAGGAAUGUUAUACUAAGAUGGACACCAGCACAUCACGUGUUGCAUUUGGAACGAGUUUGUCUUCCUUGUUGGGCGGCUGCAUCAAGACAAGUCCAGAGGCAACCCGUUGCUGGCAGUAGCCAACACACUGUGGAGUCUGCACCGGAGACUGGUAUCAUAGAUAGAAACAUAAUUACAGAUAUGAUGAUUCCUGUACCACCACCACUGCCACCGCUGGUUCCACAACCAACAUCACCUCAGGCACAAGAAUUAAGUCAAUCAUUUUCAAAGAUUAACUCACAAAAAUAUUAACGGGUAUCUGCAAGUUCACGUCAUUGCCUAUUCCCUGGUUGUGAGAAUACUGAACGUCUGUUGGUACCAGGUACUUUAAAGGAAGUUCUUUUAUUACAUUAUAAAGUGUAUAUUCCCUUGUCUGCAAGAAUUUGCCGAUAUCAUUUAAAUAGCAAUCGUUGGGAUGAACUAGAAGCAUCAUAUUCCGAUUUUACUGGAUUUCAAGUAGAUGAUAUUUUCAGUAAACUUGAAAAAGCUACUGAGAGACAGUUGGACUUUAAUGACAUAAACUCAAUGGAUUCUCAUUUAUGCCAUUAUUGGUUAGGACUUACUGCAGAGCAGUUCAAUGAACUUUUAAAUUGUAAUCCUUUGUUAUACAAUCACUUUCCAAAUCCUUCUGUUGCUCUCAGUAUAUUUUUAGUAAAACUCAGAACAGGUGACAGUAAUGAAAGACUAUCAACUCUUUUUAAAAUGCCAAGAUCCACAUUGGAAAAAAAAAUGAACAUUGUGAGAAAUUGUUUAAAUGAACAGUUUGUUUCUCGAUAUUUAGGAAUAAAUCACAUUUCUAUUCAAAAUGUAGCAUCACGGAAUAGAAUCAUUCCAGAGGGCUUUUUUGGGGAUGCCAAUAUGGCUUCAGACGUUAAACCUGCGAUUGUAAUAUGUGAUGGCACAUAUGUUUAUGUCCAAAGCAGCAGUAAUUAUUUGUACCAAAAAAAAACGUAUAGUCUGCAUAAAUAUGCCAAUCUUGUCAAACCGUUUUUAUUUGUUUGCUGCGAUGGAUAUAUUUUAGAGUGCGUAGGGCCAUAUGAAGCCACAAAAAAUGACUCUUCGAUUAUGAGUGCCUUGUUUGCUACUGAAAAUAGUCCUAUGCGCUCAUUUUUCAGACCCGGUGAUGUGUUCAUUUUGGACAGAGGAUUUAGGGAUGUGAUUCCUGAAUUAGAAAAUUACAAUUAUAAAACGCACAUGCCACAGUCAUUAUCCGAAAACGAACAUCAAUUAACCACUGAGCAAGCUAAUAAAUCUAGAUGUGUAACUAUGUGCCGCUGGGUGGUAGAGGUUGUUAAUGGGAGAAUAAAAAGAGAUUAUAAAUUGUUUCGGCAGGAAUAUUUUAAUAGAGCGUCAAAUCAUCUUAUGAUUGAUUUCAAAAUAGCAUGUUUUUAAAUAAGUUCCAUCCUACAAUUGACGAUAGACCCGAUGCUUUGGAGUAUUUAAAUAUUGCUUUGUCGAGAUUAAAUACAGUAAAUUAUUUAUCAGAAUUUAUUCAAAGGGAACAUAUAAAUAGAAGACGUACGAUUUUCCAAAAUAUAAACAGCAAUGCUCCCCAUUUAAAUAACUUUCCAAGAUUGUCAUUAAUCGAUUUAAGAAGAUUUGCUUUAGGAUCUUAUCAAUUAAAACAAGCAAGGUCCUAUUAUGGAGAGCAUGUGCGGGCAAAUGGUACCUACAGUGUAGAAAUAAGCAAUGAAUUAUUGGAAGAAGAUUUGCCCUUAAUAUUCGGUCAAAAUAAUUAUCUACUUAGGGCUAGAAUUAAAUCGAGACAUAUCAGUAGCAGGAUUUAUUACACCUAUUUAUUAGUAAGUAAAGAGCAAGAUAGGGCAAACUCUUUAGAAAGCAUCAUUGCUCAUUAUUGUACUUGCUUAGUGGGAAAUCGUACAGUAGGAUGCUGCGCUCAUACGAUGACCGUAUUGUGGUAUCUAAGCUGGGGUCGUUUUAAUGAUAUAAGCGCUCCAGCACAAUUUCUAGACCAUAUAUUCCUUGAAGAAUAAAUGAUUUUUAUUAUAAUUGGUUGUGUUUUUUCUUAUUAAACAUCUGUAUAGCAUUUACUAUAUUUUAAACUCCUUUAUAAUUAAGCCCUUUCUAAAAUAAUCUACAGCUAAUCAUGGAUGUUACAGCGAUCUUACUAGGUAGCAGGGCAGUGAUUUUCCUAUGUCGCUUGCAGUAGAUGCUGUCAUAUAUGUCAUACAUACUCUAUAUACUAGGUACCUAGCAGUUUGCCAACAAUCUUGGGGUCAGCUUUUAGUCUAACCGAUGCAGCUGAAUACAGCAUUGCUCAAAGAGUGAUUGCCCAUCUGACCUUCACACCCGAUACACUGGGUUAUAACAUGUUACCUUCUGGUAAGAGGUUGUCACACUUGCUGGAUUCUAGCUACUCAUAACAAGUAUAUAUAUAACAAGUAUAUAAUACACCCAGAAUCAAGUUUAAAUGUAAGUACUAGCAGCCACCCAGCUGAAGUUUGUAAUGGAUGGUCACCCAAGUGCAAUCUGACCAAUUAGCUUAACUUAAGAUAUCUCCUUGUGGUUGUUGUAACGUAGCCAUAUGCUCCUCCAACCAAUUUAGCCCUAAGUAUAUUUAUUUCUUCUGGUGCCAGCAAAACCUACUUCCUCUGACUGCAAGAUAAACAGUUUAACAUAUUAUUUAGCAAGAAAAGAUGAUAUCUGAUGUUUUUAUUUCAUUUGGGAAUCAAUAUUAAUACUAAAAAUAUUUUAUUGUUUUAACGCAAAUUGUUUUUGAAAAAAUAUUGUCUAAUAACCUCAAUUUCUUCAUCAGAAAAAAAUCAAUAAUUCUCGGAAACUAGGGUGAAAAAUUAUAAAUUGUUUUCAGGGUCUGAAAAGGUAAUUUUAGUUCUUCAAAAUAAAGU